This 774-nucleotide ribosomal RNA is filed under the name uncultured Neocallimastigales. RNAcentral's name for it is "partial large subunit ribosomal RNA". It matches the Rfam family "Eukaryotic large subunit ribosomal RNA", at positions 26 to 614 of the family's 3401-position model. The record is from RNAcentral. Lineage: Eukaryota; Fungi; Neocallimastigomycota; Neocallimastigomycetes; Neocallimastigales.
CGCAUCUGUGCAUGCAGCAUAUCAAUAAGCGGAGGAAAAGAAACUAACAAGGAUUCCCCUAGUAACGGCGAGUGAAGCGGGAAGAGCUCAAAUUUGAAAUCUUAAAGGGUUUCCCUUUACGAAUUGUAGUUUAAAGAAGUGUUUUCUGUUGAGGUUUUGGUAAAAGUUCUUUGGAAUAGGACAUCAUAGAGGGUGAGAAUCCCGUAUUUGACCUUUACUUUCAACUUUGUGAUACACUUUCAAAGAGUCGGAUUGUUUGGGAAUGCAGUCCAAAAUGGGUGGUAAAUUUCAUCUAAAGCUAAAUAUUGGCGAGAGACCGAUAGCGAACAAGUACCGUGAGGGAAAGAUGAAAAGAACUUUGAAAAGAGAGUUAAACAGUACGUGAAAUUGUCAAAAGGGAAGCGUUUGACACCAGUGUUGUUUUUCUGAAAAUCAAUUAAAGAACUGUUUAUGCUAAGCUGUUUAGACUUUAUCAGCUAACUGUUUAGUUUUGAGCUUUUCUUUAAUGCACUUUUCAGUUAACAAGUCAACAUCAAUUUCUUUUGCUGUAAAAAAGCUUGAGGAAGGUGGCUUGAGAUUCGUCUUAAGUGUUUAUAGCCUCUUGCCUAUGCAGUCGGAGAGAUUGAGGUCUGCAGCGUAGAUCCUUCGGGGCUAAAUGCAUUUGUGCUAAGUUAUAGCAUUUUAUAGACAACUUGUUGACUAUGAUUUGUCCUGUAGCUUACUCGCUUAUGUUAUUUUACCUACGCUUAGGAUGUUGAGUCAUCACACAUCUCU